GAGUACCGACUUAACGUUGUUCAAUUCUUUUAUUCCUAGUAUAAAAUAAAACAAAGUGCCAUGUUUUUCUAGGUGAUUGAGUGGGUGUACAAGUAAAGUAGCAAGUAGCAACAUUAUUAUUAUGAGCUUAUCAACUUCUGCUAUUAACACAACUUCAAAUUUCAACUCUGAAGCUGCUUUGUGCACUUUAGAUGACUUUGCUAAGAACAACACUACUAAUACUCAUAUCGACGAAAUUGGCAAUUUCCAUCGGAAAGAUAAUCAAUUUGCUCAUAGUUUUCUUAAUGAUCAAAUCAAUGUUGAUGGAGAUAAUCUACUAUUGUUUGAUAAUAAUCUCCUCCAACUUCUCUUGAAACUCGAAAAAACAGCAUCUUUACCAUCUUGUAAUGAUAUCGGUCUUCGACUUGAUGAUUUCCAUCUGCAAAAUCAGGAGAAGUUAAAAAAAGCCGACAUCGACAAAUCAAAAGGAAAAGAACUAGUUAUGGAGAACGACGGAGAAAGCUCGGGCAAUAACGAUUAUUAUUCGAAUGCUAGGAGGAAGAAGUUGAUGUAAAACUACAGGUUGGAUUAGCGAAAUAAAGAUGAACUACAUUAAGUUCAACCUUAGCUUGUCGAAGAGAGGAGGAAGCACGCACAUGAUGAGCAUUUGUUCUUUGGAAGCGGAAUCGUGGACAAAGAAGCAAGCGGGAACAAAUCAAUGACAAGUUUCAGAUUUUAGAGAAUUUGAUUCCCAAGUCUAAUAAGGUAGAUUUUCUGAGAGACCAUGCAUCCAUCCUGAAUAACGCAGCUAAGCGCAUCAAAUCCUUGAAACGCCAAAUUGAGAUAUUGUCGACAUGGCCUGAACAAAAACAGCUCGAACAAGCUUUUUAUGUACCUGCAUCUGCAAUACAUGCGCUUACGAUGAUGAGGCCAUGUACGUAUGCAUUUGGUAGUGCUGAACCAUCGUCUCAUAUGCCAACAAUCCAAGCAAAUUUGUGCCCUCCUCCUCCUGCCAACACAUUAUUCGCACCGUUGUUUCCUUCAACUACUCCAUGCCAAUAUCCGGGGAAGAGUAGGAUGAAUUGAAAGAAAACUGUUUGAUUGUUUUCUAAGUUCUGAUAAUAACAAAUAUGGUACCUUUAACUAUUAUAUACUUUGUGUAGUUGUGUAUGUGUUUACUUUGUUAUGAAUGGAAUAUUUUCAUUAUAGAGCUACAUUAUCCUUUUUUUCAUAAA
Molecule: RNA transcript, 1214 nt
Organism: Beta vulgaris subsp. vulgaris (sugar beet)
Lineage: Eukaryota; Viridiplantae; Streptophyta; Magnoliopsida; Caryophyllales; Amaranthaceae
Gene name: transcription factor PHYTOCHROME INTERACTING FACTOR-LIKE 15
Exons: 6
Source: RefSeq, a predicted model, not a curated record